Molecule: long non-coding RNA, 528 nt
Organism: Ruditapes philippinarum (Manila clam)
Lineage: Eukaryota; Metazoa; Mollusca; Bivalvia; Venerida; Veneridae
Exons: 3
Source: RefSeq, a predicted model, not a curated record
GAGUGCCGGAAAUUUUUCCACUUCACACAUUUAAGAUCACGUGACCAUUUGAGUGUUUAUCAACAGCCAACAUUAUUUUUGGAGGGAAAGUCGUACCGAGAAGAUGGAAGGACUGGUGUUCCCUGAUAGGAAAAUCUACAGUACUUGGAAGUUGCCAGGUUCUUCUAAUUGUAUAAUAGAAUUAUAAUAAUAUAUUCCAAUAUUUUGUGUCUGGAGACCCCUUUGAAUAGAAGAGGUUGGAGGGUCCUGAUUGUGGUGGAUAGACGAAGAUGUGGAUGGCUGUGUAACAUUGGCAAAGUCUAUGUGUUGGAAUGUGGCAUGAUGGAGCUAUUGACCAUGGAGUUGCAUCAAAUGUGAUGAUGGAUGUGAUCUUGCAGACCAUGGAGUUGCAUCAAAUGUGAUGAUGAAUGUGCUCUUGCAGACCAUGGAGUUGCAUCAAAUAUGAUGAUGGAUGUGAUCUUGCAGACCAUGGAGUUGCACCAAAUAUGAUGAUGGCUGUGUAUGUGUUGGAAUGAGGCAUGAUGGAGC